Molecule: long non-coding RNA, 2160 nt
Organism: Cyprinodon variegatus (sheepshead minnow)
Lineage: Eukaryota; Metazoa; Chordata; Actinopteri; Cyprinodontiformes; Cyprinodontidae
Exons: 3
Source: RefSeq, a predicted model, not a curated record
CAAUUACAGGUCGCUUCAAGCCUCAUGUUCUACUCUUGGAGCUUCAGGAGAGAAUCCAGCUGCUGCUGCUGCUGACCAGGAGCCCAGCGCCACCUACAGGAAGGCCAAGGCGGUGUACCCGUGUGAGGCCGAGCACGAGUCCGAGCUCUCCUUCCUUGUCGGAGCGAUAUUCAGUAACGUGACCCCAUCAAGGGAGCCCGGCUGGCUGGAGGGGGAGCUGGACGGAAGAAGGGGCCUGAUCCCUGAGAACUACGUGGAGAUGCUGUAGGGGCUGGAGGACGCAUUUCUGGACACUUUGUUUUUCUCACGCUCACCACGGAUGAACAGCAGAACCUCUGUCAGACGUUCCUACAGAACCAGAGUCUGAUCGACCCGUUUAAGCUGAUGGGUAGAUCUGGUUUUACUUGGUUAUGUGGUCAAGUUUUCACUCUUUAAACGUAUAGGUUUUUGUUCUUCUAAAGUUCUGCUCUAGUUUCUUGGUCGCAGCAGAGACGCAGCGUCUGCCUGAGCUCGCCCUCCUCUGCCCCGUUAUACAUGGUAUCCAUGAGCUCAACGUCAACAGGGGACCCUCAAAAACUCCUCUUCUUCAGCUGUCUGCCUUCAUCACUUAUAGAUUGGAAACACCUGAUUGCCUUGUUCACAUGAUCUGAGUGGUGUACGUCUUUAUACAGCCUACGGAGGACCAGUCCUGCCAUUGUUGUUUUUGUCAAUAAUUUCUCUGGUACAUUUUCUUUGAGUUUUAUAAAAAAGGAACUUUUAAGAUAAUAUACAUCAUUAUUAUUAUAAUUCAGAGCGUAAAUGGAUAAAUAAAUAUUUUAAAAAUGUAACUGGGUCACUAAAAGAUAAAAACGAGAGAGAUAAUUGCAUGUAAUUGAUCAAUUAGGUAGAAAUAAACAUUGAAUUAACAAACUAAAUAUGUAUAUAUUAUAUAUUUUUGCAUUUAUUGCUUCACUCUUGAAAUUUAUAUUUGCACCUAAAUUCUGAUUUACCAUUAUAAUGAAAUAUGGAGAAACAUAUGUAUUUUUCUAAUGUUUUUUUUUUUUUAUAUAUAUAUUAAAAAAAAAGUCCAAUCCAAAUUCGGAGAAAUUAAUAUCAGAGUAUUUUUAAGAAGUAUUGAUAAACUAUUUAAAGAUGGUAAAUCAAGCUUGGGGUUCUUAAAGUAUAUUUGAUAAUAAAGGGUUUUAUUAGUUGGGUAAAUAGAUCAAUGUUUUAGAAAUAGUGAAAUAUGAAAAAAGAAAUUGAGGGGAGAGGCAUGUUUUAAGUAUAUCUGUGGUAAUUUAUUCAUAAAUAAAAGGAUCAAAUAAACAUAAGAAAAACUUGAAAAAAAAUUGAAGUCAAUUUUCUUUCUAAUUGAUCCUUUCUAAAAUAAAUAUCUCUGUUUGUUAUGCUUAAUGGCUUUUUGCCCGAACAAUUAUUUUUAUGAGUUAUUUUUUUUACGUGUUUGUUACCGUGGCAGGUCUGGUCCUCCGUAGCUUUCUGCCUGUCUCCGUUUGGGGUCGGGUGGGGCUCCUCCCAUCUAGAACCGCUUUUCUCCGUCCCGUCCAUCAGGAAAACAGCCAUUGAAAUUCCGGCACUACGAUUAAAUGAAAUCGGCACAUUUAUGCAUGAGAUUGAAUUUCCAGCCCACUUUGUUCCGUUUUUGCUUUCAGGACACAGAAACUCGCUGAAUCCCUCCCAGUUUCCUGACGCUUGUUCUUUUUAAACACUAUCGCCAUUCAGGGUCGUCAGACCGAGCAGAACCAAGUGCGUCUCUGUUUCUUAACGUUGCUCCAGUUCAGGGCAGAAAAAAAAGACGAUACACUCCAAACAAAGAUGAGUUUUAAAGUACCUCACAAUGCUUGACGAUUAAAACUGUUGCUGUUAGAGAUUUUCAAGUUACAACAAGGUUCUGUGUUGGACUGGUUUUGUCCUGCAUUGAUGGACGUGGCCUUUAAUCUCCCAGUUCUCUUGCUGGUUUCUCUGGGCUUUGCUUCAGCACACACUGGUUGCUGUAGUUUAAGAUGAUUCUUUGGGGCCUUUUUCUUUUUAAACUUUGGUGCCUGCAGUCAAUCGAUGUUAAAAUAAAUAAAGAUGUCUCUUUUUUUUUUUUUCUUGUUUGCUGUACAAUCAUUUUUACUUUUAGGUCUGUUGUUUUAUUUCUAUCUAUUAAAAAUAAUUCUA